This 184-nucleotide small nucleolar RNA is filed under the name Drosophila grimshawi. Lineage: Eukaryota; Metazoa; Arthropoda; Insecta; Diptera; Drosophilidae. The record is from RNAcentral.
AGACAAAAGCACACAGUUUCGUCCGUUGUAAUCUUAGCGGCCGUCUCGGAGCAUGCGGCGGUCGCUGUAAGGCCAGCGGAACAACAAACGCUGCCAUUUUUACGCUAGACUGUUGUUUGUCGCUCAAGCUAAAGCCAAAUAAUUUAGGCGUGGGCUCACAAUUAUCUUAUUUUAAAUGAAACGC